AGGAAUAUUGGUCAAUGGGCGCGAGCCUGAACCAGCCAAGUAGCGUGAAGGAUGAAGGUCCUACGGAUUGUAAACUUCUUUUAUAAGGGAAUAAAGUCAUCUACGUGUAGGUGUUUGUAUGUACCUUAUGAAUAAGCAUCGGCUAACUCCGUGCCAGCAGCCGCGGUAAUACGGAGGAUGCGAGCGUUAUCCGGAUUUAUUGGGUUUAAAGGGAGCGUAGACGGGUCGUUAAGUCAGCUGUGAAAGUUUGGGGCUCAACCUUAAAAUUGCAGUUGAUACUGGCGUCCUUGAGUACGGUUGAGGCAGGCGGAAUUCGUGGUGUAGCGGUGAAAUGCUUAGAUAUCACGAAGAACCCCGAUUGCGAAGGCAGCUUGCUAAACCGCCACUGACGUUGAGGCUCGAAAGUGUGGGUAUCAAACAGGAUUAGAUACCCUGGUAGUCCACACGGUAAACGAUGGAUACUCGCUGUUGGCGAUAGACUGUCAGCGGCUUAGCGAAAGCGUUAAGUAUCCCACCUGGGGAGUACGCCGGCAACGGUGAAACUCAAAGGAAUUGACGGGGGCCCGCACAAGCGGAGGAACAUGUGGUUUAAUUCGAUGAUACGCGAGGAACCUUACCCGGGCUUGAAUUGCAGACGAAUUGCUUGGAAACAGGCAAGCCGCAAGGCGUCUGUGAAGGUGCUGCAUGGUUGUCGUCAGCUCGCGCCGUGAGGUGUCGGCUUAAGUGCCAUAACGAGCGCAACCCUCGUGUCCAGUUACUAGCAGGUUAUGCUGAGGACUCUGGACAGACUGCCAUCGUAAGAUGUGAGGAAGGUGGGGAUGACGUCAAAUCAGCACGGCCCUUACGUCCGGGGCUACACACGUGUUACAAUGGGGGGUACAGAAGGCAGCUACCGGGCGACCGGAUGCCAAUCCCGAAAGCCUCUCUCAGUUCGGACUGGAGUCUGCAACCCGACUCCACGAAGCUGGAUUCGCUAGUAAUCGCGCAUCAGCCACGGCGCGGUGAAUACGUUCCCG
This 1016-nucleotide ribosomal RNA is filed under the name uncultured bacterium. RNAcentral describes it as "bacterial SSU rRNA". It matches the Rfam family "Bacterial small subunit ribosomal RNA", at positions 357 to 1376 of the family's 1533-position model. The record is from RNAcentral.